This 490-nucleotide ribosomal RNA is filed under the name uncultured bacterium. Its description in RNAcentral is "partial 16S ribosomal RNA". It matches the Rfam family "Bacterial small subunit ribosomal RNA", at positions 30 to 507 of the family's 1533-position model. The record is from RNAcentral.
AUUGAACGCUGGCGGCAGGCCUAACACAUGCAAGUCGAACGGUAACAGGAAGAAGCUUGCUUCUUUGCUGACGAGUGGCGGGCGGGUGAGUCAUGUCUGGGAAACUGCCUGAUGGAGGGGGAUAACUACUGGAAACGGUAGCUACUACCGCAUAACGUCGCAAGCCCAAAGAGGGGGACCUUCGGGCCUCUUGCCAUCGGAUGUGCCCAGGUGGGAUUCGCUAGUGGGUGGGGUAACGGCUCACCUAGGCGACGAUCCCUACUUGGUCUGAGAGGAUGACCAGCCACACUGGAACUGAGACACGGUCCAGACUCCUAAGGGAGGCAGCAGUGGGGAAUAGUGGACAAUGGGCGCAAGCAUGAUGCAGCCAUGCCGCGUGUAUGAAGAAGGCCUUCGGGGUGUAAAGUACUUUCAGCGGGGAGGAAGGGAGUAAAGUUAAUACCUUUGCUCAUUGACGUUACCCGCAGAAGAAGCACCGGCUAACUCCGUG